CCUACGGGUGGCAGCAGUGAGGAAUAUUGGUCAAUGGACGAGAGUCUGAACCAGCCAAGUAGCGUGAAGGAUGACUGCCCUAUGGGUUGUAAACUUCUUUUAUAUGGGAAUAAAAUGUUCCACGUGUGGGAUUUUGUAUGUACCAUAUGAAUAAGUAUCGGCUAACUCCGUGCCAGCAGCCGCGGUAAUACGGAGGAUCCGAGCGUUAUCCGGAUUUAUUGGGUUUAAAGGGAGCGUAGGUGGAGUGUUAAGUCAGUUGUGAAAGUUUGCGGCUCAACCGUAAAAUUGCAGUUGAAACUGGCAGUCUUGAGUACAGUAGAGGUGGGCGGAAUUCGUGGUGUAGCGGUGAAAUGCUUAGAUAUCACGAAGAACUCCGAUUGCGAAGGCAGUUCACUGGACUGCAACUGACACUGAGGCUCGAAAGUGUGGGUAUCAAACAGGAUUAGAUACCCGAGUAGUC
RNAcentral lists this ribosomal RNA (460 nucleotides) under uncultured bacterium. RNAcentral's name for it is "partial 16S ribosomal RNA". It matches the Rfam family "Bacterial small subunit ribosomal RNA", at positions 338 to 795 of the family's 1533-position model. The record is from RNAcentral.